AGAGCAGAAAGGAAAUGACCAUGAACUUGGCCUUAGAAAUUAGAAGUGAGUUAUAAAUUCCGAUAUGUUAGGUCAUUUCUUGGUGUAUGUAUUUAUAUGCAUGUUUUAGACUACGAACAAGUGAGAAUUACACAUAAGGGCAAAGCUCCAACUUAGAAGAUUGUACAAGCUUGAUUCGAGGUAGGUGAUGGUAUUGUAGUCAAUCUAACUUGCAUUAUAUAUGAACGCCAUAUUGUUUGGUAUGGUCAAUGAAAUGUUUUACUUGCUUAAUAAAUUAAUUGGGCUUGUUUCUGGAUGUGGAAUGUUUUGAUAUUUGGGAAGUUCUCAUGGGCUCUUAGUAAAAAAGGUUGGCAGACACUUGAGUUUGAGAUUAGUACAUGGACGAUAAUUGUUCCAUGCAAGUUGUGGCAAGAGGGAGGUUGAAAUUUUCUUAGCGUAUCUGUAUGGGGGUCAGGUGAGUUUGUCGGUUCCAUGAGUGGACCGGAGAAAUAUA
Molecule: long non-coding RNA, 493 nt
Filed under: Capsicum annuum
Lineage: Eukaryota; Viridiplantae; Streptophyta; Magnoliopsida; Solanales; Solanaceae
Description: long non-coding RNA (CANN_LNC021959)
Source: RNAcentral